This 806-nucleotide ribosomal RNA is filed under the name Polychytrium aggregatum. RNAcentral describes it as "eukaryotic LSU rRNA". It matches the Rfam family "Eukaryotic large subunit ribosomal RNA", at positions 107 to 858 of the family's 3401-position model. Lineage: Eukaryota; Fungi; Chytridiomycota; Chytridiomycetes; Polychytriales. The record is from RNAcentral.
GCUCAAAUUUGAAAUCUCCUGGCUUUGUCAGGCGAAUUGUAGUUUAAAGAAUCUUUUUCGGGGACAGGGGGGUAUAAGUCCUUUGGAACAAGGCAUCGUAGAGGGUGACAAUCCCGUUCACGAUCCCGCCAUUGGCCCUAUGUGAUAAGAUUUCAAAGAGUCGGGUUGUUUGGGAAUGCAGCCCUAAAUGGGUGGUAAAUACCAUCUAAAGCUAAAUAUUGGCGAGAGACCGAUAGCGAACAAGUACCGUGAGGGAAAGAUGAAAAGAACUUUGAAAAGAGAGUUAAAUAGUACGUGAAAUUGUCAAUAGUGAACGGUUUAGAACUAUUGUUUGUCCUGGGAAAAUCAAUUGGUCCAAGCGGCCAGUGCACUUUUCCUCGGACAGGUCAACAUCAGUUUGGGCUCGGGAUAAAAAGCUCCAUGCGCCUCGGCAAGUGGAGUGCUGUCCCGGACCGGACUGAGGACUGCAGCACAGUCAUAGGAUAGCCAGUCGCCUCAGUGCGUACGGAUGUAAACAGCAUGCUGAUUGCGUCUAGUGCGGACGGAGCUCGGUGGGUGAUUUCUCUCCUGUCGCUUAGGAUGUUGACGAAAUGGUUUUAAGCCACCCGUCUUGAAACACGGACCAAGGAGUCUAACAUAUCUGCGAGUUUUUGGGUGCCAAACCCAUAAGCGCAAUGAAAGUGAAUAAGAUGGGAUCCUCGGAGCACCAUCGACCGGUCUGGAUUUUUUUGAUAGAUCUGAGUUAGAGCAUAUAUGUUAGGACCCGAAAGAUGGUGAACUAAGCCUGAAUAGGGUGAAGCCAGAGG